This 432-nucleotide ribosomal RNA is filed under the name uncultured bacterium. RNAcentral describes it as "partial 16S ribosomal RNA". It matches the Rfam family "Bacterial small subunit ribosomal RNA", at positions 29 to 506 of the family's 1533-position model. The record is from RNAcentral.
AACGAACGCUGGCGGCAUGCCUAACACAUGCAAGUCGAACGAGACCUUCGGGUCUAGUGGCGCACGGGUGCGUAACGCGUGGGAACCUGCCCUUAGGUUCGGAAUAACUCCCCGAAAGGGGUGCUAAUACCGGAUAAUGUCUUCGGACCAAAGAUUUAUCGCCUUUGGAUGGGCCCGCGUUAGAUUAGCUAGUUGGUAGGGUAAAAGCCUACCAAGGCGACGAUCCAUAGCUGGUCUGAGAGGAUGAUCAGCCACACUGGGACUGAGACACGGCCCAGACUCCUACGGGAGGCAGCAGUGGGGAAUAUUGGACAAUGGGCGAAAGCCUGAUCCAGCAAUGCCGCGGGAGUGAUGAAGGCCUUAGGGUUGUAAAGCUCUUUUACCCGGGAUGAUAAUGACAGUACCGGGAGAAUAAGCUCCGGCUAACUCCGU